GACGAACGCUGGCGGCGUGCUUAACACAUGCAAGUCGAACGGAAAGGCCCUGCUUGCAGGGUCCUCGAGUGGCGAACGGGUGAGUAACACGUGGGUGAUCUGCCCUGCACUUCGGGAUAAGCCUGGGCAACUGGGUCUAAUACCGGAUAGGAGCCAUUUUUAGUGUGAUGGUUGGAAAGUUUUUUCGGUGUAGGAUGAGCUCGCGGCCUAUCAGCUUGUUGGUGGGGUAAUGGCCUACCAAGGCGGCGACGGGUAGCCGGCCUGUGAGGGUGGACGGCCAUAUUGGGACUGAGAUGCGGCCCAGAUGCCGACGGGAGGAAGCAGGGGGGAAGAUUGCUCAAGGGGCGCAAGGCUGAUGCAGCGACGCUGCGGGGGGGAGGGCGGCCUUCGGGUUGAAAACUCGUUUCGCGAGGGACGAAGCUUGUUGUGACGGUACCUAGAGAAGAAGCACCGGCUAACUACGUG
This 465-nucleotide ribosomal RNA is filed under the name uncultured bacterium. Its description in RNAcentral is "partial 16S ribosomal RNA". It matches the Rfam family "Bacterial small subunit ribosomal RNA", at positions 28 to 507 of the family's 1533-position model. The record is from RNAcentral.